UCGUGCCAAAACUCAUACUCGGUGAUACCUUGCGCAGGGUAUCCAACCGAGUCUGCCAAGGCUGUUAAAAUUUCGUAUACACUUAAAAUAUAUUUUUAGUUUGAGAAAAUACAGUCGUUCCUUGGCGUUGGCUGAGUUCCCCUUCACGUGGUGGUUUGGCGUGAAGUGAAUCCUAAGCUUUACCCCAAGAGAUACCCUACGCGCCUCUCCGUUUGAGGUAAUAAUAUAAUGGAGUUUAUCGUGCCCCUCUAAUAGGCUGGUCCACGGAACCCCCUCUGCAGUAAAUAAUUAAUAUAUAAUCCACCAAUCAAUAAAAUUCAUUCUAGCAUGACAUGGCAAUUUAUCGCAACCUAGCCUCUGAAGGCUGAAUACAUAGUAUAAAUAAUUCUAACACCAAAAUCAGUUUAGCCAUUCAUGCUCAUUUAUUGUCAUAAGCCAUUCAAUUCAAAACCAUAAAUUUGCAACACAAGCAGACAAUCUCCAAUUACUCUAUUUUCAAAACCAAUAUUCGAUUUUCAGAAAAUUUAUAAAAUCAUUUUAUAAAAUCACAAUUUCUCUUAAAACAUAGCAAUUUACCAUUUAAACCCAUUUUCCAUAAAAUCACACAGUUGUAUAAAACUACUCUAGAUAAUUAAGACGAUAAUAAGUUCACUCACCGUUCUAGGAGUCGAUGUACUCCUAAUCCCAGUCUCCAAGCACAAUCUUUGUACUUUUACCAGUGUACUUUGUUCACC
RNAcentral lists this long non-coding RNA (734 nucleotides) under Theobroma cacao (cacao). Its description in RNAcentral is "long non-coding RNA (TCAC_LNC001046)". The record is from RNAcentral. Lineage: Eukaryota; Viridiplantae; Streptophyta; Magnoliopsida; Malvales; Malvaceae.